Molecule: non-coding RNA, 134 nt
Organism: Triticum urartu
Lineage: Eukaryota; Viridiplantae; Streptophyta; Magnoliopsida; Poales; Poaceae
Source: Rfam
UUCGUACUCCCUCCGUUCGAAAAUACUUGUCAUCAAAAUGGAUAAAAGGGAUGUAUGUAGAUGCAUUUUAGUUCUAGAUACACCUCUUUUUAUUCAUUUUGAUGACAAAUAUUUCUGGACGGAGAGAGUACGUA